AGCGAACGUUAGCGGCAGGCCUAACACAUGCAAGUCGAGCGAGAAAGAGGACUUCGGUCCUCGAGUACAGCGGCGUACGGGUGAGUAACACGUGGGUAAUCUGCCCUUCGGUGGGGGACAACAACCCGAAAGGGUUGCUAAUACCGCAUUCGCCGGCAUGACCUGUGGAUUAUGCCGGGGAAGUGGGCCUCUACUUGUAAGCACACGCCGAAGGAGGAGCCCGCGUCCCAUCAGCUAGNGGUAGGGUAAUGGCCUACCAAGGCAAAGACGGGUAGCUGGUCUGAGAGGAUGAUCAGCCACACUGGGACUGAGACACGGCCCAGACUCCUACGGGAGGCAGCAGUGGGGAAUAUUGGACAAUGGGCGAAAGCCUGAUCCAGCCAUGCCGCGUGGGU
This 395-nucleotide ribosomal RNA is filed under the name uncultured bacterium. Its description in RNAcentral is "bacterial SSU rRNA". It matches the Rfam family "Bacterial small subunit ribosomal RNA", at positions 29 to 406 of the family's 1533-position model. The record is from RNAcentral.